Molecule: ribosomal RNA, 230 nt
Filed under: Vibrio cholerae
Lineage: Bacteria; Pseudomonadati; Pseudomonadota; Gammaproteobacteria; Vibrionales; Vibrionaceae
Description: partial 16S ribosomal RNA
Rfam family: Bacterial small subunit ribosomal RNA
Source: RNAcentral
UUUAAUUGAAGAGUUUGAUCAUGGCUCAGAUUGAACGCUGGCGGCAGGCCUAACACAUGCAAGUCGAGCGGCAGCACAGAGGAACUUGUUCCUUGGGUGGCGAGCGGCGGACGGGUGAGUAAUGCCUGGGAAAUUGCCCGGUAGAGGGGGGAUAACCAUUGGAAACGAUGGCUAAUACCGCAUAACCUCGCAAGAGCAAAGCAGGGGACCUUCGGGCCUUGCGCUACCGG